This 325-nucleotide ribosomal RNA is filed under the name uncultured eukaryote. RNAcentral describes it as "partial 18S ribosomal RNA". It matches the Rfam family "Eukaryotic small subunit ribosomal RNA", at positions 1470 to 1796 of the family's 1831-position model. The record is from RNAcentral.
CCCCUAGAUGUUCUGGGCCGCACGCGCGCUACACUGAACAGUUCAACAAGUCUUAACCUUGGCCGAUAGGUCUGGGUAAUCUUUGAACGCUGUUCGUGAUUGGGAUAGACCUUUGCAAUUAUGGGUCUUCAACGAGGAAUUCCUAGUAAACGCAAGUCAUCAGCUUGCAUUGAUUACGUCCCUGCCCUUUGUACACACCGCCCGUCGCACCUACCGAUUGAGUGAUCCGGUGAAUAAUUCGGACUGCAGCAGUGCUUGGUCCUCCGGGCUUUGCAGCGGAAAGUUUAGUGAACCUUAUCACUUAGAGGAAGGAGAAGUCGUAACA